Molecule: ribosomal RNA, 192 nt
Filed under: uncultured soil bacterium
Lineage: Bacteria
Description: partial 16S ribosomal RNA
Rfam family: Bacterial small subunit ribosomal RNA
Source: RNAcentral
AGGACGAACGCUGGCGGCGUGCUUAACACAUGCAAGUCAUGGGGGCCCGCAAGGGCAACCGGCGAACGGGUGCGUAACACGUGAGCAAUCUGCCUAGAUGUGGGGGAUAGCCGGCCCAACGGCCGGGUAAUACCGCAUACGCUCUCCGAGUGGCAUCACUCGGUGAGGAAACCUCCGGGGCAUCUAGAGGAG